GAUGAACGCUGGCGGCGUGCUUAACACAUGCAAGUCGAACGAAGCACUUUAUUUGAUUUCCUUCGGGACUGAUUAUUUUGUGACUGAGUGGCGGACGGGUGAGUAACGCGUGGGUAACCUGCCUUGUACAGGGGGAUAACAGUUGGAAACGGCUGCUAAUACCGCAUAAGCGCACAGCAUCGCAUGAUGCAGUGUGAAAAACUCCGGUGGUAUAAGAUGGACCCGCGUUGGAUUAGCUAGUUGGUGAGGUAACGGCCCACCAAGGCGACGAUCCAUAGCCGGCCUGGGAGGGUGAGCGGCCACAUUGGGGCUGAGACACGGCCCAAACUCCUACGGGAGGCAGCAGUGGGGAAUAUUGCACAAUGGGCGAAAGCCUGAUGCAGCGACGCCGCGUGAGCGAAGAAGUAUUUCGGGAUGUAAAGCUCUAUCAGCAGGGAAGAUAAUGACGGUACCUGACUAAGAAGCACCGGCUAAAUACGUG
Molecule: ribosomal RNA, 481 nt
Filed under: uncultured bacterium
Lineage: Bacteria
Description: partial 16S ribosomal RNA
Rfam family: Bacterial small subunit ribosomal RNA
Source: RNAcentral